RNAcentral lists this ribosomal RNA (149 nucleotides) under uncultured Glomus. RNAcentral describes it as "5.8S ribosomal RNA". It matches the Rfam family "5.8S ribosomal RNA". From Rfam's summary of the family: 5.8S ribosomal RNA (5.8S rRNA) is a component of the large subunit of the eukaryotic ribosome. Lineage: Eukaryota; Fungi; Glomeromycota; Glomeromycetes; Glomerales; Glomeraceae. The record is from RNAcentral.
ACUUUCAACAACGGAUCUCUUGGCUCUCGCAUCGAUGAAGAACGUAGCGAAGUGCGAUAAGUAGUGUGAAUUGCAGAAUUCCGUGAAUCAUCGAAUCUUUGAACGCAAAUUGCACUCUCUUCGGAGAGUAUGCCUGUUUGAGGGUCAGU